UUCAAAAGUUAUACUUGGGCAAGUGGGUGGAGGAGUUAGGAAAAUUAAAAGAGGGAUGCUUAGGUGAGCAGGUACCUGCACUGCCGCCAACCCAGGCUUCAAUUCUGGCUCUCUUGUAGCGGAAAGCCUUAAAAAACGCGAGUUUGGGGAUCCUGAAAAAAAGUAAAUAGGGUUGCUGGGCUGAAUAACAUCCCUCCUCUCAGGCUCCUGCUGAAAGGGCCAUUCAUGAUUUGCCUGGUUGAGCCUGUGGCGACUUUAUUCUGACGAAUCUGCCUUUGCCAGCAGCAUAACCUUGCCAAGUUGGCGUCUUGACCAGCAAGCAACUGUGCCCAAGGAAGCCUCUCUGUGGUGCCUCAGACCUGAGAGGCCGAGUGCCUUUGAGCGCCUGAGGUAGAUUGUGAGUUUCAUGAAAACCGAGAAAGUCUAAGUGUGCAUGUGCGUAAGAUAUUUUAUAUAUAUAUAUCUCAUAUAUAUAUGAGAUAUGUCUAUAUAACGUGGACUGAAUUGUUUAUUGUUUAUGUUUCGUGUCGAGCAUAAAUUCCAGAAGCUAAGAUGCUUCCAUAGCACACAAACGUUAUGCGUUUAAACGUUGGAAAUCAAAAAUGCCAUGUCAGGUCAUUCUGUCCUUGUUCCAAAGUGAGAUUCAGAAAUAGGUUGGGAUUUUCUGCCCUUAGAUAAGAAAACGGAAAUUAUAUUUUACUGUAUAUGUUAUCAGUUAAUGAUAAAUUAAAAAACUAAUAUACACUGCUGUUAUUGUAAAAUCCAUAUGCUCAAGAAUGUUCAUGGAUGGAGAGAUCUUCAAAUGCCAUUUCAAAAAAGAAAAUGCACUUUUCUUCUUUGCAGAUUAGGAAUUUGAACAUAUUCCCUGUGCAAAAUGCAGGGAAUAUUUUCACAGCCUUUGUACCUGAUUACCAUACUCUCUAUUUAUUUCUUAUUUAAAUUGCACUAGAAAACCUAAAGUAAAUGAAAUGUAACAUAAUAAAGAAAAGAGAAUUUAGACAUUUACUUUAAAAGCUUUAUUUCUCAAAGGUCAAGCUUCAGUUUCAAGCUACUGUUUGAUGAUGCAUAUGUAAAUUCUUGGUAAAAACUUGAUCAUUAGCAAUUAAAACAACUUUUUUCUUUUAUUAUAUAAAAAUGUUUAAAAUUGUUUCACCACAUCCUUGUCCUUAAAAUGGUGUAAACUGACCAUUGUGUAAGGUUUUUGUCAGAUUUUUGGAUAGAAAAGGAGUAUAUAUUAUGUGUAGAUAUGUCCAUGUUUAUUGUUUCUCUAAUCUAUCUAUUUUUGUCCACAUUAAAUACUGAUUAUUGAAUUUCUCACAGCUCUACACAGUAAGGGUGUUCCAUAAUGUAAAACAAGUUUAUUCAAUCAUCAUAUGAAUAGUUGAAAUACACUUUUGGAGUUUGAAAUGAUAAAAGCAAGAAAUCAGUGAGGUUCAUUUCACCGCCCCACCCCACUUUUCCUUUUUUUAAUGCUCCCACCUUUAAUUGUUAACAUUAUUGGCUAAGUGGUUGAAUAAAUGAAUAAUGAAAACAUUUGCUACUUCUCUUUAAGGAAGGAUGCAUAUUUUCCAUAUUUAAUGUAUCCUUCAAGCUCCCAUUCAGAUUAAACAAGAUUCUCCCUAUCAUCUUUAGUUUAUAGAAUGUUGAAUGGGACAGCAUAGCCUGCAGUGAGAAAGUUUCAGCCAAUGUGGAGUAUGGUAUUAAAAUUCCCUCAUUAUUUCUGUGGACUAUAUAUAUCAGUAUUCUCAAUUGUUAUUUUUUUCAGAAAUACUUGUUAUAAUUAUUCACCCCAUAUAACUUUAUUGGAAAAUAUAAACAACCAUAUGUGAGAUAUUAUAUAAGUUUUGUAAUCAUUCACCAUUAACUCUGGGAUCAGACUUCCUAGAAUUUGAAGAAGAAAUUAAUGAAAUCAAACGUAACUUAAUAGUAGUAGUAAUAGAAAUUUUAAAAUCCUCUUAAAGUUUCUGCAAAGUGUGAUCCCUGCCCCCUUACACUCAAGUUAAAGGAGAAUGUUAACAGCCUGUCCUGUCUCUGUGGACAGUGGACCUUAUCUAUACUCCCCAACUCCAAAUUACUCAAGUUUAUUACAGGCCAGCAAGCUCCUGCACAGCUGCAGUCACAAGACCAAUAAGUUUAGGUUGCAAGACAUGUUUUUCUCAAGAUGUAAGAAAUGUUGUAAUGCUUGAUUAACUGCCUUUGUUUCUCGCUUCUGUAACUUGCUUCCCACCUCAUGUAGUUCCUGCCUUAAAAUGUUUAAAAGUAGGAAAAGCCCUUAGUUUGGGGCUCAUACUUUCUGGACAUAUGUCCGGCUGGGCCGGUGAUCACCUUAAUAGACUCUCCUGAACCUUUUUCAGUCUCUCCAGUCUUUGAUUGUCUUGUAACAUUUCUGGGGGCUCAUCCGGGAUUGGAGAGGGAACAUUUUCUGUCUCCUUUGCCUGUGGGCUACAGCCCCAGGACAUGGGAGAUCUGGGGUCCUUGGCACCACCAGGAGAGUUUCAGCCCAGAAGGAGAACUGCCCUCCCGCGUUCUGGGGCCUUCCCCCGACAGCACAAAUGGAACCAGUGGAAGGGGUUGCAGGAUGGUCACGGGAGCAGCGCACAGCCAUCUGAACCACGAUUGUACAACAAAUAAUGAAUGGAAAACUCUAAAGGGUAUUUAAACCCCAGAAAACGGAUUAAUGAAGCCACUGCUUAGUUAAAGACCAUCAAGCUUCAGAUGAUCAUGCAACAAGUGUUCCAGCCAGUUCCGGGUGAAGUCACCACCUGUGGCCAUCAAGGAACUACCCUGACUCCACUAGACAGGGCAGGGCAAGAGUUUCAUGAUCCCCAAUAGGUAGGUACUAUACCCCAAGCCAGCAUGAAGCUGUUACAGAAGGAAGACCAUCAGUUUUUCCAUCUUCCAUAAAGAUUUAUGGGGAUCACAUCUCUCAGGGGGAAAAAGAGGCAGGAGAUUAGGGUCUGGAGGCAGAGAACAUAAGGUCAAUUCACAAUGACUUCCUAAAACUGAUUUAAAUGGAAACAGUUUUGAUUUACAUGGAAACCCUUCAGCUAAGACAGGAAAUACCUUCUUCAUUUACAUAGGGCAUACACCAAGUAAAUGACUUUGUAAUUUUACUUCAUCCUCUUCAUUUACAUAGGUUGUACAACAAGUAAACAAUGGAAAAUUCUAGAGGACAUUUAAACCCCAGAAAAUUCUGUAAUGGGUCUCUUGAGCCCCUGUGCUUAGGCCUGCUCCCACCCUGUGGAAUGUACUUUUUUUUUUCUUUUCUUUUUUUUUUUUUUUUUUGAGACAGAGUCUCGCUCUGUCACCCAGGCUGGAGUGCAGUGGCACAAUCUCGGCUCACUGACUGCAAGCUCUGCCUCCCAGGUUCACAGCAUUCUCCUGCCUCAACC
This 3392-nucleotide long non-coding RNA is filed under the name Homo sapiens (human). Its description in RNAcentral is "HSALNT0076512". Lineage: Eukaryota; Metazoa; Chordata; Mammalia; Primates; Hominidae. The record is from RNAcentral.